GCUAGCGGCAGGCUUAACACAUGCAAGUCGAGGGGUAACAGAGGUAGCUUGCUACUUGCUGACGACCGGCGCACGGGUGCGUAACGCGUAUAGAAUCUACCUUGUACUAGGGGAUAGCCUUUGGAAACGAAGAUUAAUACCCUAUAGUAAGUAUUUAUGGCAUCAUUUAUACUUUAAAGGUUACGGUACAAGAUGACUAUGCGUCCUAUUAGUUUGUUGGUGAGGUAACGGCUCACCAAGACUUCGAUAGGUAGGGGCCCUGAGAGGGGGAUCCCCCACACUGGUACUGAGACACGGACCAGACUCCUACGGGAGGCAGCAGUGAGGAAUAUUGGACAAUGGAGGCAACUCUGAUCCAGCCAUGCCGCGUGCAGGAUGACGGCCCUAUGGGUUGUAAACUGCUUUUAUGUAGGAAGAAACACUCUCACGUGUGAGAGCUUGACGGUACUACAAGAAUAAGGACCGGCUAACUCCGUGCCAGCAGCCGCGGUAAUACGGAGGGUCCAAGCGUUAUCCGGAAUCAUUGGGUUUAAAGGGUCCGUAGGCGGGCUAUUAAGUCAGAGGUGAAAGUUUGCAGCUCAACUGUAAAAUUGCCUUUGAAACUGGUAGUCUUGAAUUAUUAUGAAGUGGUUAGAAUA
This 638-nucleotide ribosomal RNA is filed under the name uncultured Bacteroidota bacterium. Its description in RNAcentral is "bacterial SSU rRNA". It matches the Rfam family "Bacterial small subunit ribosomal RNA", at positions 35 to 668 of the family's 1533-position model. The record is from RNAcentral. Lineage: Bacteria; Pseudomonadati; Bacteroidota.